GUCCUUUAGAAUAGAAUUUAAGGUUUAACCUGCCCAUUGAUUAUUUUAACGGCCGCAGUAUAUUGACUGUGCAAAGGUAGCAUAAUCAUUAGUUUUUUAAUUGAAAGCUUGUAUGAAUGGUUGGACGAGAUAUAAGCUGUCUUUAAGAUAUAGUUAGAAUUUAAUUUUUAAGUUAAAAAGCUUAAAUAAAUUUAAAAGACGAGAAGACCCUAUAGAUCUUUAUAAAAAUAAAAGUUUAAUUUUUAAGGAUUAUUAGUUUUUAUAUUUUUAUGUUUAUUUAGUUGGGGUAAUAAAAAGAUUUAAUUAAUUCUUUUUGUAUUAGACAUUGAUAAGUGAUUUAAGUGAUCCAUUAUUUAUGAUUGUAAGAUUAAGUUACCUUAGGGAUAACAGCGUAAUUUUUUUUGAGAGUUCUUAUUGAUAAAAAAGUUUGCGACCUCGAUGUUGGAUUAAAGUUAAUUUUGGGUGUAGAAUUUCAAAGUUUUAGUCUGUUCGACUAUUAAAAUUUUACAUGAUCUGAGUUCAAACCGGUGUGAGCCAGGUUGGUUUCUAUCUUUAAUUAGUGAAUAUAUUUUAGUACGAAAGGACCAAGUAUUUGAUAUAUAGUAUUAUAAAUUUUGAGUAAAAUU
RNAcentral lists this ribosomal RNA (626 nucleotides) under Limbodessus pulpa. RNAcentral describes it as "partial 16S ribosomal RNA". It matches the Rfam family "Bacterial large subunit ribosomal RNA", at positions 1829 to 2737 of the family's 2925-position model. The record is from RNAcentral. Lineage: Eukaryota; Metazoa; Arthropoda; Insecta; Coleoptera; Dytiscidae.